This 425-nucleotide ribosomal RNA is filed under the name uncultured bacterium. RNAcentral's name for it is "partial 16S ribosomal RNA". It matches the Rfam family "Bacterial small subunit ribosomal RNA", at positions 354 to 796 of the family's 1533-position model. The record is from RNAcentral.
GUGGGGAAUCUUGCGCAAUGGGCGAAAGCCUGACGCAGCCAUGCCGCGUGAAUGAUGAAGGUCUUAGGAUUGUAAAAUUCUUUCACCGGGGACGAUAAUGACGGUACCCGGAGAAGAAGCUCCGGCUAACUUCGUGCCAGCAGCCGCGGUAAUACGAAGGGGGCUAGCGUUGCUCGGAAUUACUGGGCGUAAAGGGCGCGUAGGCGGACAGCUUAGUCAGAGGUGAAAGCCCAGGGCUCAAACUUGGAAUUGCCUUUGAUACUGGCUGUCUUGAGUUUGUGAGAGGUAAGUGGAACUCCGAGUGUAGAGGUGAAAUUCGUAGAUAUUCGGAAGAACACCAGUGGCGAAGGCGACUCACUGGCCCAAUACUGACGCUGAGGCGCGAAAGCGUGGGGAGCAAACAGGAUUAGAAACCCUGGUAGUCC